RNAcentral lists this ribosomal RNA (383 nucleotides) under uncultured eukaryote. Its description in RNAcentral is "partial 18S ribosomal RNA". It matches the Rfam family "Eukaryotic small subunit ribosomal RNA", at positions 592 to 976 of the family's 1831-position model. The record is from RNAcentral.
CAAUAGCGUAUGUUAAAGUUGUUGCAGUUAAAAAGCUCGUAGUUGGAUUUCUGGUGGGAGCGAUCGGUCUGGCGCUUAGCGCGAGUACUUGCAUCGUCUCCGGCCAUCCUUGGGGAGAGUCUGUCUGGCAUUAGGUUGUCGGGCAGAGGAUCCUCAUCGUUUACUGUGAAAAAAUUAGAGUGUUCAAAGCAGGCUUAUGCCGUUGAAUAUAUUAGCAUGGAAUAAUAAGAUAGGACUUUGGUACUAUUUUGUUGGUUUGCGCACCAAAGUAAUGAUUAAUAGGGACAGUUGGGGGUAUUCGUAUUCCGUUGUCAGAGGUGAAAUUCUUGGAUUUACGGAAGACGAACUACUGCGAAAGCAUUUACCAAGGAUGUUUUCAUUAA